This 284-nucleotide unclassified non-coding RNA is filed under the name Meripilaceae sp. Its description in RNAcentral is "partial contains 5.8S ribosomal RNA, internal transcribed spacer 2, and large subunit ribosomal RNA". Lineage: Eukaryota; Fungi; Basidiomycota; Agaricomycetes; Polyporales; Meripilaceae. The record is from RNAcentral.
CGCACCUUGCGCUCCUUGGUAUUCCGAGGAGCAUGCCUGUUUGAGUGUCAUGGUAUUCUCAAUUCUCUCAGUUUUUGCUGGGAUGAUAUUGGACUUGGAGGUUAUUGCCGGCAUCCUUGUGAAACCGGCUCCUCUUAAAUACAUCAGUGUGAAUAUUCACUUCAUACUCAGUGUGAUAAUUAUCUACGCUGUGCAUGGGUGAUGUGACUUCAUGCUUCAAACCGUCGCAAGACAUUCCUUUGACUUCUGACCUCAAAUCAGGUAGGAUUACCCGCUGAACUUAA